Molecule: ribosomal RNA, 506 nt
Filed under: Listeria monocytogenes
Lineage: Bacteria; Bacillati; Bacillota; Bacilli; Caryophanales; Listeriaceae
Description: partial 23S ribosomal RNA
Rfam family: Bacterial large subunit ribosomal RNA
Source: RNAcentral
CGGCGAGUUACGAUUUGUUGCAAGGUUAAGCGGAAAAAGCGGAGCCGUAGCGAAAGCGAGUCUGAAUAGGGCGUAUGAAGUAACAGGUCGUAGACCCGAAACCAGGUGAUCUACCCAUGUCCAGGGUGAAGGUAAGGUAAUACUUACUGGAGGCCCGAACCCACGCACGUUGAAAAGUGCGGGGAUGAGGUGUGGGUAGCGGAGAAAUUCCAAUCGAACUUGGAGAUAGCUGGUUCUCUCCGAAAUAGCUUUAGGGCUAGCCUCGAGGUAAAGAGUCGUGGAGGUAGAGCACUGUUUGGACUAGGGGCCCUUCUCGGGUUACCGAAUUCAGAUAAACUCCGAAUGCCAUGUACUUAUACUCGGGAGUCAGACUGCGAGUGAUAAGAUCCGUAGUCGAAAGGGAAACAGCCCAGACCACCAGUUAAGGUCCCAAAAUAUACGUUAAGUGGAAAAGGAUGUGGGGUUGCUUAGACAACCAGGAUGUUGGCUUAGAAGCAGCCACCAUU